RNAcentral lists this ribosomal RNA (405 nucleotides) under uncultured bacterium. Its description in RNAcentral is "partial 16S ribosomal RNA". It matches the Rfam family "Bacterial small subunit ribosomal RNA", at positions 30 to 526 of the family's 1533-position model. The record is from RNAcentral.
AUUGAACGCUGGCGGCAGGCCUAACACAUGCAAGUCGAACGAGUGGCGGACGGGUGAGUAAUGUCUGGGAAACUGCCCGAUGGAGGGGGAUAACUACUGGAAACGGUAGCUAAUACCGCAUACCAUCGGAUGUGCCCAGAUGGGAUUAGCUAGUAGGUGUGGUAAUGGCUCACCUAGGAGACGAUCCCUAGCUGGUCUGAGAGGUGGACCAGCCACACUGGAACGGAGACACGCUCCAGACCCCUACGGAAGGCAGAAGUUGGGAAUAUUGCACAAUGGGCGGAAGCCUGAUGAAGCCAUGCCGCGUGUAUGAAGAAGGCCUGCGGGUUGUAAAGUACUUUCGGCGGUGAGGCGUUACCCGCAGAAGAAGCACCGGCUAACUCCGUGCCAGCACCGCGGUAAUAC